This 84-nucleotide transfer RNA is filed under the name Felis catus (domestic cat). It matches the Rfam family "tRNA". From Rfam's summary of the family: Transfer RNA (tRNA) molecules are approximately 80 nucleotides in length. Their secondary structure includes four short double-helical elements and three loops (D, anti-codon, and T loops). Further hydrogen bonds mediate the characteristic L-shaped molecular structure. tRNAs have two regions of fundamental functional importance: the anti-codon, which is responsible for specific mRNA codon recognition, and the 3' end, to which the tRNAs corresponding amino acid is attached (by aminoacyl-tRNA synthetases). tRNAs cope with the degeneracy of the genetic code in two manners: having more than one tRNA (with a specific anti-codon) for a particular amino acid; and 'wobble' base-pairing, i.e. permitting non-standard base-pairing at the 3rd anti-codon position. RNAcentral also lists the same sequence under 1 other name. The record is from Rfam by way of RNAcentral. Lineage: Eukaryota; Metazoa; Chordata; Mammalia; Carnivora; Felidae.
GCCUGGUUGGCUCAGUCAGUUGAGCAUCCGACUUUGGCUCGGGUCAUGAUCUUGCAGAUUGUGGGUUCAAGCCCACAGCAGGCU